This 253-nucleotide ribosomal RNA is filed under the name uncultured bacterium. RNAcentral describes it as "partial 16S ribosomal RNA". It matches the Rfam family "Bacterial small subunit ribosomal RNA", at positions 524 to 776 of the family's 1533-position model. The record is from RNAcentral.
UACGUAGGGUGCAAGCGUUAAUCGGAAUUACUGGGCGUAAAGGGCUCGUAGGCGGCCAACUAAGUCGGAUGUGAAAUCCCCAGGCUUAACCUGGGAACUGCAUCCGAUACUGGAUGGCUUGAAUCCGGGAGAGGGAUGCAGAAUUCCAGGUGUAGCGGUGAAAUGCGUAGAUAUCGGGAGGAACACCUGUGGCGAAAGCGGCUCACUGGACCACAACUGACGCUGAUGCGCGAAAGCUAGGGGAGCAAACAGG